Non-coding RNA from Peromyscus maniculatus bairdii (prairie deer mouse), 948 nucleotides. NCBI's taxonomy places the organism in Eukaryota, Metazoa, Chordata, Mammalia, Rodentia, Cricetidae. The record is from RefSeq and is a predicted model, not a curated record.
UUUUGUCGGUCAAAGGAAUCACAGGCCAAACAGAACUCAGGGGAUGGAGAACUAGAUCUCAGCUCUGGUUGGGAAGUGUUGCAAAGAUCCCACUGCUACCACCACCCUUCUUUCCUGGUUGUCCUCUCUCGGCAGAAGAACACAGUCUCCAUUCGCAAAGGCCCUGUUGUGGGUCCACAUUUGAUGAGUGCGGCAGUGAGGAUGCCGUCACAUCAAGCUCCUCUUCUACUCUCUUCAGCUCUCUUGAGGACAAAGAAGGGUAGGAAGUCCCAGGUGACAGGGAUGGCUCUAUCGUAGAGUGGAAGAGGUUGGCAGCCGUCCUACCAGAUGGUUUGACAUCCAAGAGAUGCAAUUGAGGGCUGCUUGCACCAAUCCCUAGAGCAUCCUUUCUAUCAGCAAUGCCACAAAACCACAGGUCUGUGUGGGAGCCGUCUCUGAGGAGGAUUCUGCGGCAUGAUUGUUUGGGAACAGCUCCCUGUGGUCUCCUGGGAGGUUAGCAAGGCCUGGGAGGCAGAGCCAGGGAGUUUUCCAGCUGGGAUCUAGAGGAGGAAAGGACAAUAGGCAAGAUAUGGCUCCCAAGGACUGGUUCUCAAAGGCCCCUCUCUGGAAGUAGGCUCAGCCUCUUCAGUGUCUAUGACCUCCCAAUAUUCCCUUAGAUUCUGGGCACAUGAAUGGACCAAGCCAUGGGUGAGGUCAGAACCCUCGCUAUCCACUCCCCAAAGCCCCAUCUCUGAAUAUUGCGGCCUUAGGGACCAAACCUUUAGUACAUGAGCUUUUGUGGGGCAGGGGGUGCAGUUCAGAUUCAAGUUUACGUCCAUCCCAUCAAGCAAGAUGAUCUCAGACUAUCACCAAGGACCCCAUAGUCUCAACAGCUCAAGCAUUAUGCAGAAGUUCAAGUCUUGCAAAGUCUCUUCUGACACUCAAGGCAACUUUUGGGAGUGAGACUCU